RNAcentral lists this long non-coding RNA (11899 nucleotides) under Cricetulus griseus (Chinese hamster). RNAcentral describes it as "lncRNA (ENSCGRG00015034918.1)". Lineage: Eukaryota; Metazoa; Chordata; Mammalia; Rodentia; Cricetidae. The record is from RNAcentral.
UCCCUCCCUCCCUCCUCCUUCUUUCUUUCUCUCUUUUUCCCCCUUCUCUCUCUUUCUCUGUGUGUGUGUAUGUCUCUCUCUCUCUUUCUGUGUGUGUGUGUGUGUGUGUGUGUGUGUGUGUGUGUGUGUGUGUGUGUGUGUGUGUUUGAGUAUUCCAGUGUGUUGGGAGAAGGUGACGCGGUGAAAUAAGAACCGUGACACAAUGGAUGCAUUGGGGGAACUUGUGUGAGACACUGGCUUUUUCUCUGCACUCUGUGGACUAUCACUGUGAGAUUUCAGUAGGCCCAUUUAUAAAGAAGCUGCUGACUCAUGGGGUAGUCAGACUGAAAGGGACCUAUAACAGAGGGUGAGUCAAGAGUGAGGAAGCAAUUGGAACAGGUGGUGAUAUGGGCAGCAUGUGGCUGGCAGAAAUGAUGAGACAUUGUUGAGUUCUUUCACUGUUUAGGUGAUAACCAGUGAGAAUGCCUAUGGAUGUGGGGUAUGAAAGAGAGAAGGAAUGCUAAGUAACUUCAAGGCUUAGUGGGCAACAAUCAGAACAAUUGGAGGAACGUAUUGCUGCAGAAAGGGGAUUAGGUUCUCAUUGGGUGUGUCACCUUUCUGACUUCAGUUGAGAUAGCUGGGAGACAGGAGUAAUUCAUAGGACUCAGUUGUAGACACUCUGUCUGCAUAGUCCUAAUAUAAACCUGUGACACUAGAUGUGUUCAUUGAAUGCACUGUUUAAGAUAAAAAGCAGAAUACAUUUAAAGCAUAACAUCUAAACUACUUGAGCAUUAAAAGGUCUUGGGACAAAUCAGAACAAAUAGGAAGAAAAAAACCAAAACAAAUGGAAAUAAAGAACCUGUAUUGUAUAGUUCUUCAAACUCUGCCACUGCAUUGCUGUUACUACAAUAUAAAGUAGGACCUGAGGUUUGGCCAUUGCUUGCCUCUGUGGUCUCUGGAGACUGUGGUGAUACUGUGGUUAUAGGGUUCUGUCAUGUAGGAAGGAGCUCCUUGAAACAUUGAAAACAUGUUCCCUACAGGUUGCUUCAGCUACACAGAUCAUGCCUAUUUGUAAGUAUAAUUUGUGAAAUGCUUUAGUGACUUAGAAAACACAGCUGGUUUUACUCUAUCACCUCAGAGGAGCACCAUUCUAGCAGCUGAACAAAGUUGUAGUAUUUGCUAAUGGAAGCCCUGUUCACAAAGACAGUUUCUAGAGUGGAAUCAAAAGAAAGAAAAGGGAAGAACCAAACAUAUGCACAAAAUAAAAGGAUGCACAAUUCUUACCAUUGGGAAGCCAAAAAAGUAUAAAAAGUAAAAAUAAAGUUGUGUCUUUAUUUAGAAGGAUUUAGAAUCACAACAAUAUUAUGUGUCACAUGCAAAUGGAAAACUCAGUGAGGCACGGUUUUCUGCCCUUGAUACUGGACAUGGUUUAUGGUGUUGUCUCCUUUAAUCUUUCCUUGUGAGAGGAAAAAGAAACAGAGACAUAUAGUUAACAAUAACAUUUAAAACUGCAUGUGUCAUUUGUCCAAACUUACAGUCACAGCACCCAGAAAAUGCAUAGGAUACAGUAAACAAUCAGUGAAGGCUUGCUGAAUAUGGCAGUGGUUUGAAUUGUGUUUGUAUUCACAGUCCUUGAGCCUUUGCUGAAGAGUCUCCAGGCAGUUUUCCACAGUCUGUCUAUACAGCUCUUCACUUGGGCAUUUUUAGUUGGGAGAGUGAGCAUCACAGGACACACUUAUUCACAAGCUAAUUUAUCAAGACCCAAGAGCAGGCUUUUCUAUUUCUACAUGUGACCCAGACAUGUUUGACACAAUUUCAGUGUUCAACAUAAUCACAGAUUUGUACAUUCAAAAGCCACUUCAUUAUGCAAGUUGUAUUAACAUUUGUUAUCCUGCCAAAUAAUUCAUUCAAUAAAUUUAAAUUUAAAAUAUGUCUUAAAUGCUGAUGUUUUACUGAUUAUAAAAUAACAUAUGCUUAUUAUAGGAAGUUGGGAAUAUGCAGAAAAAUCCAAAGAAGGAAACCCUUCACUCUCAGUCCCAGAGUUAACAGAAAACACUUUUCAAAGAUUUGGUGUGAUUUUCUUUUGCCAGUCAUUAAAAGUUCAUUGCUCUGGAAGUAACUGUAAUAAUAACUCCAUUGCUUAUUCACACACAAGGUGAAUUACCUGACCUAAAUGUACCAAAAAAUCUGUGAAGAAAAGGAAUUAGUGUUAAGACAUUUCAUGAGUGAGAUAAACAAGACAAGGAGACUGGGCUGCUUUCUCAAGGUUGCAGUUAGAGCCCUACUGACGCCAUUGAACUCACCCCUCUGGUUUCAAGUGCUGUUAAAUCUAACUUCUCUCUGGUUGAUAAAGGUCUAUUCUGCUUUUACAUGUCCAUCACAAACACUUUAACAAUUAAACAUUCCUCUCCCUAUCCUUCAUUGAUUGAGCCCCUUGAAGACACAGCCUUCCUAGGCCUUGCUCUCUGAUUCCACAUGCUCCUUUAUAACGAUACACUUGUUCUUAGGUUUGUGGUCUCCUUUUGUUGUUUGACAAAAAAAAUAUUUGAAAUAUAAAUUAUUGACAAGACAAGAGUUGCUGAAUAAAACAAAUUGUCCAGCAGGUGACAUUCUGCGUCUCACUCCUAAUGCUGCUUUUGGGGUCCACCACUUUCUUGCCUGCCUCGCGAAUGUCAGUACAGGCUGAGGUGAACCCUUUCCAUGAAUUAUUACUUUCAAAAUCUUAUGGAGGAAAAGGGCUCAGUGCUUUGCAGUUUGAAGGCUGGGGCAGAUUUGUCAGACAUGGUUUGACACUUCGUGAAUCCAUCCGCUGGAUAACAGUAAGACUCAUUUCCCAGCAGCAUCAGUGGUUCUCUCAAGGAGAGGGUGGUUAGGCUUAUUUUCUAUAAGGAAGCCUGCUGCAUUAAAAAGGGAAAUAAAUACUCUGCUUUCGUUUUACUUUUAUUUUCUCUAGAGAAGACAGAAUCACUUCUUUGAGGUGCCCAACUUUGAAAGGUCUGCUGAGGUUGCUAUUAUCAUCGUUUGUUACAGUGGCUUUAAAAAACAAAACAAAAGAUGCCUAUAUUCAGUGUGUCUCUUCAGAACUUAUUUUAUUUUCAACACCCAGUCCUGCUUCUUUGCUGAUCUUUUGCAUGAUGCUGUGCUGGCAUUAGCUUUGCUAUUUAUGAUUUCUACAUUUCCAUUAUGAUGCUCACAUGUUUAUUUUAGUGCAGAAAUAUAUUUCACCAACUCUAAAAACCCAAACCAUUAGAAUAUACAUCUGCCAUUGAAAUCUUGCUGAUUGUAUCCACAAAUGAAAAGAGAAGACCCUUGCUCCCAUUUUAAUCCAUUAAAAUGGAUAGUUCAUUAUCUCUUCUUAGGUCUCCAGGAGGCUGGAUAUCUACUGGGGGGCUGGGGAGGGGGGGUACAGAGCCAUUGUUUACUAUGAUGAACUACUAAAACCUGUCUGCAUUUCAGUUGCAAACCCAGAGGCAUGGCCCUGCCCCAUUUAGGGAAUGUCUUCACAUUGCUUAACUCUGUGUUCCUAUAGGGAAAUGCACACAAUGUUUUUUCUGUAUAAAGCAUAAAGAUGAAAUUCGAAAGCCUGGCUCUGCUACUCAAUACCCAGACUGGAAAGGAGAUCACAUUGAUGCUUUCUACAAGGAACCUUAUUUUUUGUUGCCACAGUCCUCCAAACUGUGACCCUUUUAUCUUUGCCUUCAUAAUAUCUAACACACUUCUCCUGGGGAUGAAUGUUAUGUUACCCUAUUAUUUCCUGCAUUUCUGGUCAUACAUUAAAAACUAAUGUACUUUAUAUUUGUAAUUAUGUAUAAAGUCACAAAUUUCAUUUUUUAUUUGUCCAAUCAUAUUAAGUAAGCAGUUUCCAAAUACAGUAACUUUUACCUAGAGUCAGAUAUUGAUAAUUCUUUAGUUAAUUUGUUAUUAUUUUGGAGUAUUAUGUGUCUGUCUUUGAAGCUGAGAUGUGUUUCUUGUAUGCAAUGGAAGAAUGGAUUCUGUCUUCAUAUCCAUUCUGUUAGCCUGUAUCUUUUUAUAGGCAAGUUAAGAUCAUUGACAUUGAGGGAUAUUAAUGACCAUUGAUUGUUGAUUCUUUUUUGUUUUGGAUUUGUUGGUGGUGGCGUUAUUGUGUGUGUAUUUCCCCACUUUUUUUUUUUUGGUAAAGUGGGAUUUCCCGUGGUUUUUUUGAGUGUAGUUAUAUUUAUUACGUUGGAGUUUUCCUUCCAUUAAUUUCUGUAGGGCUGGAUUUGUGGACAUGUGUUGCUUAAAUCUGGUUUUGUCAUGGAAUAUCUUGGUUUUCCAUCUAUAGUGAUUGAAUGCUUUGCUGGAUAAAGUAGUCUGGGAUGACAUCCAUGUUCCCUUAGAGUUUGUAGAACAUCUAUCCAUAAUCUUCUGGCUUUCAAAGUUUCCAUUGACAAGUCGGGUGUAAUUCAGAUAGGUUUGCCUUUGUAUGUUACUUGGCCUUUUUCUUUUGCUGCUCUUAAUAUUUUUUUUUUAUUCUGUACGUUUGGUGUUUUGAUUAUUAUGUGGUGAGGGGACUUCCUUUUGUCGUCCAAUCUAUUUGGUGUUCUGUAAGCUUCUUGUACUUUCAUAGACAUAUCUUUCUGUAGGUUAGGGAAGUUUUCUUCUAUGAUUUUGUUGAAUCUGUACCGUUGUGCUGAAUUUCUUCACCUUCUUCUAUACCUAUUAUUCUUAGGUUUGGUCUUUUCAUGGUGUCCCAUAUUUCCUGGAUAUUUUGUGUUAGGGAUUUGUUGGACUUGAGAUUUUCUUUGGUCUGUAUAUCCUCUAGUGAGUCUUCAACACCUGAGAUUCUCUCUUCUAUAUCUUGUAUUCUAUUGGUUAUGCUUUCAUCUGUUUACCCAGCUUUUCUAUUUCCAGCAUCCCCUCAUUCUGUGUUUUCUUUAAUGUUUCUAAUUGUGCUUUCAAACCGUGAACUGUUUGAAUUGUUUCCUUCACUUGUUUGGUUGUUUUUUCUUGGUUUUCUUUAGAUUCUUUAAGGGAUUUGUUUAUUUCUUGAAUUUUUGAUUUGUCUUUUCCUCCAUUUCAUGUAAGUUUUUGCUUGUUUUUUCUUCUAUUUCUUUAAGGGAUUUUCUUUUUUUCCUCUUUAAUAGUCUGUAUCAUCUUCAUAAGAUAAUUUUUAAGGUCAGUCUCUUUUUCAUCUUCUGCAUUGGGCUUUUCAGUUCUUGCUUGUGUAGAGUCCCUAGAUUCUGGUGGUGUCAUAUUGGUCUUUCUGUUGUUGAGUGUGUUCUUAUACUGUCAUCUUCCCAUCCCUUCUUCCAGUGGGUGCAGGUGGGGUCUCUCCCUCUCUCAGGUGGCAAGUGGAAGGCUCAGGCAGCAGACUCAGGUGGCAGGUGGAGGGCAGAAGGCAGAGGGCAGAGGGUGGACAAGGAUGAGGUGUGUCUGUACUCAGGGUGCCCCACCACAUCCCCCAUCAGCUAUUUUCUUUGAUGAUAAAAUGUCUCUAAGGGGUCCUAUUUGCUUAUCCAGAACAAGCCUCCAUUAGAACCACAAAGGUCCAUUUAGUGAGUGAGUAUAGACUUGAACACUUUUGGUGGUCAGGCAAAACACUAUUAUUUUAUUCUAUGAGAUGUUGUGUCCCAACAGGCAUUUGUGUUUGUAAGUGAUGUGGAAAGGAAUGAGUAGCCACUGAGCCAUUUAUCCUGACUAUGUAAGUUAUUAGUUAUUAUGAAAUACCAUAAACAAAAGUUUUCUAACAUCCUUACAUAGCACAAAGAAUGUGAAAUAGUAAUUAUUAUUAUACUUAGUUAGUUAUAAGUUAACUAGAUAAGCUCAGAGUCAUAUCAGUUGGGUCUAGUAAAUACUUGUCUAUCAGUACACCACCUGAGUUUUGAUAAAAUACCAUAAACAACAGUGCAGAAUGCCCAGAGAGGAGACUAACUGUUUAUGCCAGCCAGAAUGAUAAUUCUCAUCAUCCAUAAACUACUAACAGAAAUCUCACAAUAACCACCACCCAUUCAAACUCUACAAAUCAGGCAAAGGAACAGGAACAAUGAAGAGAAUAGUCCAAUCAAUAGAAGGCAACAGAACAUAUCUUAAAAUUGGCAGAGGAUAUAAUAUACUUAUUUUGACUGUAUUUCAUAUAGUAAGAACUAUGAGUCUUUAAAGAAAGAAAUUAAAGAAUAUACCAGAAAAUGGAAAGAUCUCCCAUGCUCCUGGAUAGCUAGAAUCAACAUACUAAAAAUGGCAAUCUUGCCAAAAGCAAUCUACAGAUUAAUGCAAUUCCCACCAAAAUCCCAACACAAUUCUUCACAGACCUUGAAAGAACAGUACUCAACUUCAUGUGAAAAACAAAAAACCCAGGAUAGCCAAAAAAGCCCUAUACAAUAGCAGAACUUCCAGAGGCAUCACUAUCCCUGAAUUCAAGCUCUAUUAUAGAGCUAUAGUCCUGAAAACAGCUUGGCAUUGGUACAAAAGUAGGCAGGUUGAACAAUGGAAUCAAAUUGAAAACCCUUAUAUUAACCCAUAUACCUUAUGAACACCUGAUUUUUGACAAACAACCUAAAUUUGUACAGUGGAAAAAAGAAAACAUCUUCAACAAAUGGUGCUGGCAUAACUGGAUUCAGACAUAUAGAAGAUUGCAGAGUGACCCAUAUCUAUCGUCAGAACUAAACUUAAGUCCAAAUGGAUCAAAGAGCUCAACGUAAAUUCAGCCACACUGAACCUCCUAGAAGAGAAGGUAGGUGGUACCCAUGAACAAAUUAGUACAGGAGACCAUUUUCUGAACAUAACAGCACUAGUUCAAAUAUUGAGAUUGACAAUUAAUAAAUAGGACCUCCUGAAACCAAGAAGCUUCUGUAAAGCAAAGGACACAGUCAGCAAGACGAAAUGCCAGCCUACAGAAUGGGAAAAAUUAUUCACCAACCCCACAUCUGACAGAGGGCUGAUCACCAAAAUAUACAAUGAACUCAAGAAGCUAGCCACCAAAACACUAAACAAUGCAAUGAAAAGAUAAGAGUACAGAAAUAGAGAAUUCUCAACAAAGGAAUCCAAAAUGGCUGAAAAACACUUGAGAAAGUGCUCAACAUACACCCAAAGAAUGCACACUCAUACAAUAAGGACAUAUGUUCAACUAUGUUCAUAGCAGCAUUAUUGUAAUAGCCAGAACCUGGAAACAACCUAGAUGUCCCUCAACUAACGAAUGGAUAGAGAAAAUGUGGUAUAUUUACACAAUUUCCCCACUCUGUGGGGGAAAACAACAACCAAAAAAACAAUGGAAUCUUGAAAUUCGCAGGCAAAUGGAUAGAAGUAGAAGAAACCAUCCUCAGUGAGGUAACCCAAAUCACUAAAAGAUAAACAUGGUAUGUACUCACUCAUUUUUGAUUUUUAGACAUAGAGCAAAGUAUCACAAGCCUACAUUCCACAUUGCCAGAGGAGCUAGGAAACAAGGAGGACCCCAAGAGAAGAUUGCAUAGGCUCUUGAAAAAGGGGAUGGGGACAAGAACCCCUGACCAAACUGGAGCCCGUGGGCAGGGAGAGGAAGGAGAGGCUUCAUCCAGUUGCUGUUUGAAGCAAAAACAGACAACCAUAGCUAGGCACUGAACAAUACUACUGGAAUUCGGUUGUGGAGAGGGAGGAUUGUUGAGCAAACUAGCCAAGACGGUGAUGACGAAACCUACAGAAAUAUUGGACCUGACCUACUGUCAUAAAGCUGGGGAAACAGCAUUGGACCAAACCAAACCCUCUGAAUGUGGGUACCAGCUAGGAGCCCAAGAGAGUCUAUGGUUCCUCUAACAGUGGAGCCAGUCUUUAUCCCUAGGGCACAAAUAGACAUUGGGAGCCCAUUCCCUAUGGAGGGAUACAAUUGCAGCCCAGACACAGCAAGGAGGGUCUAGAUCCUCCCCCAAACAAUAACACAGACUUUGAAUGUCCUUGGUGGAGGGCCUCACUAUCCCUGGGGAGGAUUCGGGGUGUGUAGUAGGGUGGGGUGUGUUGGUUGGGGAACAUGGGAGGAUGGGAGGGUGAGAGAAUGGGGGAGAUGGAUAUGUAAACAUGAGUAAUUAAAAAUAAUUAAAAAUGAAAAAAGAAACCAGCUGAUAAGCUGAGGAGAGAAAGUAAGAAGAUAAUUGGCCAAUGCCCAAAUUCAUCCAUCCUAGACAACACGGAGAUUAUAAGUGGAAGAUGACUUUGUCAUAUACAUAUAAGUUGAAAGAAAGAAAUUGUGCUUAUUCAUCUUUUCUGGAGAUACAUUCUGAAGGAAUGUAGAAGAGUAAUCCUAACCAUAAUGUUUUGCCCAGGCUCUCUCCAUAGCAGAAGAAGCCUGCUAUGGGAGCAGACACCAUGUAAUCCAGAUGUGGAUCACUACACAAAGGCACCAGAGAAAGUUUUAAGAGCCAGGGAGAGAGAUGCAGACAAAGGAUUGGAAAAUCUUUCAAUAUACUCAGUCUCAGCUCAAGUAUUUCAAAAUGCCAGAUUCUCUACCGGCAUUUACAGUGAAAAUCCAGCAGCAGACCACACUGCCUGACUCUAGAUCCAUGUGGACAUGCUCAGUGUAAUCAAGAAGAGGGUUUGGCAUCUGCAAUCUGACAGCUUUCAUCUUUUGCAGAAGCUGUGUUUGAAAAUCUUGUGAUAUAUGCCCUUUCCUCACAUCUAAACACACAGCAUAGCUUCUCGUCUAUGAAGUGUUUCCAUGUUGGAAUUUCAACAGUCAAGAAGAGAAAUGCCAGGAGAAUUGUUUGUGACAACAAGAUGAUAUGCAAAAUAGUUUUGGAUAUCAGUUCCCUUGGAACGUCUCAAAUGUGAAAGCUUAUUUGUUUGGAAGAGAGGAAUUCUCUUUAGCAGCAAAGAGAGUAACAAAACAGCCAAGGUGGAGUGAACAUGAUUAAAAAGAAAUAGAGUCAGGGAAACAGCAUUAUAUUACAUUUUCCUCUAAAUCUAAGCUACUAUAUCUGUAUAUGAGCAGAGAACAGAAAAGCUGGUAUGCAGAAAGCAGGCGUCCAUCCUAAUAUCCCAACACACUGGAUGUAAGAAAGCACCAGCUACAUGCCAUAAGAUCUAAUUACCACGAAUUGCCUUUCCUGCCCCACAGCAAUCAUUUUGAUGACAGGCUUCUCUGCACUGUAAAACAAAAUGGGAAACCUGUGCUGUAUAAACCACCUCAUGCUUCUUUUCUUCCUCUGCUAUCGGCCUCCCUAUCUCAUUUAUUUUCCACACAUUAAUGGUAGCAGUCACCUUGAGCUGGUGAUGCAGAGUAAUUUUCACAGAAACCUUGAUCAGAAACCAUAAAUCAGUCUGAUGUGCUUUUAUGGUCUAAUAACAUUCCGUUUGCUCCUACAGGUCUGUAUGUAAAACUGCAUUGCAGUGAGUCCUCUGGAUUUUCUUUUUCUUUUUUUGUGUAGCUCAUUCUUGCUCUCAGGCACUUACUCACUCUCCCUCCCUUCAUUCUCCUUCUCCCUCUCAGCCUCUCUAACAUGAUUUCUAGGCACACAUAAGCGCAUACCCAUCAUCAUUGGUAUAGUUCGUGUGUUACAAAACAGCAUUUAACUGCCAUUGUAUACAUGCCAAGGUAGCGGGGAUGCAUACACUUUCAGAAGGGGAAAACGAUGUGUGUUAGAUAACAAUGAAGUAUCUCUGACCGCAGUAGUGAAUGCAUCAGUUGUCCAGGCUGUGCUAUGUCUUGGUCGACUUCAGAAUGAGGUUUGCAUGUGUAUGAUUGUGUUCUGCUGUAUACUGAUUGCCAGAGGCUUGCACUCUUCCCUCAGUCCAGCAGAAAGAGUAUGAUGUGGAGUGGAAUGUAGGCUAGUGGGAUAUCUGGAAGAAGAUCUGUGAUCUCAAGGCAAAGGAGGCAUGAGUUUGAAGUAAAUGCAGUAGGAUAAAGGCAGCAGUGCAAAGGUUGCUAUCUGUUGAAGGUGAGGUCCUGAGCCUGUUAUUCAGUUGCAUCAAUGGCAGGACUGAUAAGCAAGCAUCAGCAUGCCAUCAGGCUACUGUGAAGUAUGUGCAAGUUAGCCAUAGUGAUCACCUACCUUAGCCUGCAGCAUAAUCUGAACAUAUCUGUGUACUUGGCUCAAGGACCAGGAGGAAAAGGCAAACCAGGUAAAAACCAAUCUCCACCAUCUCACCUACUUAUGUGUGUGCUACCUAAAAGUCCUCUGGGUAGGUACAAUGUAAUGGGUAGCCGUUUCCCUUUUAGACAGAAGAAAGAACACUUAUAUCUGUGUUUUCCACAGGAUGGAAACAUCUACAAGUGAAAAAUCAUUCCUGCAUUGCAGUUUGGUGAAUCAGUGCAGGAAAUGAACAAAGACCCUCUGACUCAGGCUGGGAGAGUCAAGCUUUGCUUUGGAAGGGAGGAAAGCUGGCAACAAGCUCUGAUUUUUUUCACUGCUAAUGUAUCGAGUGAUAAUUACUCCCCAGUAGACCUCCAUAAAUUCCAACAUUCUUAACCGGUGCUUCAUGAAUAUACGAAAGGGCUGAAAUGUACCCAGGUGUAUUAAUCAAAAUUUCUAGGACACUCUUCCUUACUUGGUAGUAAGAUACAUCUCCAAUUAUUUAUACCUAUAUCUAUUUUCAUAUCUGCAGGCAUUGCCCUUGUGCAUGUGAGUAGAGUCUUGUAUUGGAUGCUGGCAUAGCAAGCAAUCAUAAGGACAUUCAAAAUGUCAAUGAAAGGAUAACUGUAGAAUGUGGAUGUCAGCUUCAUCUGUAGGGCUCUUUGUUUCCAACUGUAAGUCACAUCAAUCCCCUUGCCUCACAUGCAAUAGUAUUCAAGUUAGGCAGCAGGGCUGUGUUCCUUUUUGUUUAAAUUUAUUUCCUUUAGCAAGAAAAUAUUUUUUCUCCCAUCAUAUCACAGAGUCCUGUCACCAUUGCUGCACCCUGAGUCCUCAGUAACAGUUCAGCACUGAAUUUUCAGAAACUGACAGGCAAUUUCUCCUUUUGCAACAGCUGGGGCUUUUCAGUGCUGCAGUAGCAAAGGCUAAAUGUGAAAAGGAAAUGGGGGUGAACACAAGUCCUUUCUCUCCAGUGUCCACUGCCCUUGGAUUCACAGCCCAGCAUUUGCUGUCUGUGUAGGAACUAUUUCUAAACCCUCAUAGCUGGAGGCAAUGUACACCAGACCAGUGGGGUGGGAGUAAUAAAGGAGAGAUUCAGUAAAGAACAAAUUCUUUUCAGAUUAGCUGAUUGGCAGCUGUGAGUAACUCGGCUCUGGCAGCAAGGCUGGAAAGAGCAGCCUCAACCUUGGUGCUCAUUAUUUAGCUGUAAGCCUUUCCUGCCAGGAACAUUUUUCUCUUUCAAUUCCUAAACUACUUUAACUCCUUAUGAUCCAAUCCUUCAUCAAAAAGAGUGAACUAAAAAGACCUUUAUUGGAACCCCUAGGUUGUAGAUGAGAAUUGACUGCAAGAUACAACUUCCUUUACCAACAAUUCUAAUCAGAGCUGAUAUUAUGUUAGGAAAGUCUGAAUUAACACUAGGUAUAUAAUACUCAUUCUGUGUCAGAUCUGAUAGAUGUCUUGAGGAAAAAAAAGAAGAAAUUAGUAUCAUAUGUAGGUUUUAUAUAUGACUACAUAAAGAAUUUAACCUACUAAGAACAAGAGGGAACAUGAAGUAAUAAUUUACUGAUUCUAAAGGUAUCUCUUCUUGGCAGUCAGGACAAUGCAAUCAACAGAGGUAAUGUUCUUAAAGCCUCCUGAUCUAAACGUAAAAACGUCAUCAGAGCUAACAGGAGGCCACUUUGACUCUGAACUGCUGUAAGAGAAACAUAAGCAAAACUAACCUUUAAAGCCACAGUCUUAUGAUUUAAUCAAAAUAUGUUUAUGUACAUUCAAUUAUGACAUCUAACUGACAGAAAAAGGACUUGUAAAAAUCAUUUGUCUCUCUACGUAUAUCUCUUGGGUGUAUAUUGAUGUAUUUCUACAGAUAUUUAUAAAGAACUUGUUUUUUCCAUGAAGCUCAAAAAUUACAUUAUAAUUUAAAAAUAUUG